GCCCUGAUAGCUCAGCUGGAUAGAGCAACAGCCUUCUAAGCUGUAGGUCGCUGGUUCGAGUCCAGCUCAGGGUACCA
RNAcentral lists this transfer RNA (77 nucleotides) under Candidatus Peregrinibacteria bacterium CG10_big_fil_rev_8_21_14_0_10_42_8. RNAcentral describes it as "tRNA-Arg". It matches the Rfam family "tRNA". From Rfam's summary of the family: Transfer RNA (tRNA) molecules are approximately 80 nucleotides in length. Their secondary structure includes four short double-helical elements and three loops (D, anti-codon, and T loops). Lineage: Bacteria; Candidatus Peregrinibacteriota. RNAcentral also lists the same sequence under 1 other name. The record is from RNAcentral.